AACAGGAUUAGAUACCCUGGUAGUCCACGCCGUAAACGAUGGUCACUAGGUGUGGGGGGUGUCGACUCCCUCCGUGCCGGAGCUAACGCAUUAAGUGACCCGCCUGGGGAGUACGGCCGCAAGGCUAAAACUCAAAGGAAUUGACGGGGGCCCGCACAAGCAGCGGAGCAUGUGGUUUAAUUCGACGCAACGCGAAGAACCUUACCUGGGCUUGACAUGGCCGUGACCGGCGUGGAAACACGUCUUCCCUUCGGGGCACGGUCACAGGUGGUGCAUGGCUGUCGUCAGCUCGUGUCGUGAGGUGUUGGGUUAAGUCCCGCAACGAGCGCAACCCCCGUCGCAUGUUGCCAGCAUUCAGUUGGGGACUCAUGCGAGACUGCCGGUGACAAACCGGAGGAAGGUGGGGAUGACGUCAAGUCAUCAUGCCCCUUAUGUCCAGGGCUACACACGUGCUACAUUGGCGCGUACAGAGGGCUGCGAUACCGCGAGGUGGAGCGAAUCCCUUAAAGCGCGUCUCGGUUCGGAUUGUAGGCUGAAACCCGCCUACAUGAAGGUGGAGUUGCUAGUAAUCGCGGAUCAGCAUUGCCGCGGUGAAUACGUUCCCGGGCCUUGUACACACCGCCCGUCACACCACGGGAGUGAGCAACACCCGAAGCCGGUGGCCUAACCCGCAAGGGAGGGAGCCGUCGAAGGUGGGGCUCGUGACUGGGGUGAAGUCGUAACAAGGUAACC
This 732-nucleotide ribosomal RNA is filed under the name uncultured bacterium. Its description in RNAcentral is "bacterial SSU rRNA". It matches the Rfam family "Bacterial small subunit ribosomal RNA", at positions 771 to 1501 of the family's 1533-position model. The record is from RNAcentral.